This 253-nucleotide ribosomal RNA is filed under the name uncultured bacterium. Its description in RNAcentral is "partial 16S ribosomal RNA". It matches the Rfam family "Bacterial small subunit ribosomal RNA", at positions 524 to 776 of the family's 1533-position model. The record is from RNAcentral.
UACAGAGGGGGCAAGCGUUGUUCGGAAUUACUGGGCGUAAAGGGCGCGUAGGCGGCCUGUUAAGUCGAACGUGAAAUCCCUGGGCUCAACCCAGGAACUGCGUCCGAUACUGGCAGGCUUGAAUUCGGGAGAGGGAUGCGGAAUUCCAGGUGUAGCGGUGAAAUGCGUAGAUAUCGGGAGGAACACCUGAGGCGAAGGCGGGCUACUGGGCCGAUACUGACGCUGAUGCGCGAAAGCCGGGGGAGCAAACGGG